This 1110-nucleotide ribosomal RNA is filed under the name uncultured organism. RNAcentral describes it as "bacterial SSU rRNA". It matches the Rfam family "Bacterial small subunit ribosomal RNA", at positions 241 to 1350 of the family's 1533-position model. The record is from RNAcentral.
UUAGUUAGUUGGUGAGGUAAAGGCUCACCAAGGCGAUGAUGGUUAGGGGUCCUGAGAGGGUAGUCCCCCACACUGGUACUGAGACACGGACCAGACUCCUACGGGAGGCAGCAGUGAGGAAUAUUGGUCAAUGGGCGCUAGCCUGAACCAGCCAUGCCGCGUGCAGGAAGACGGCCCUACGGGUUGUAAACUGCUUUUCUGCAGGAAGAAUAUAUAGUCUUAGGGGUAUAUUGACGGUACUGCAGGAAUAAGCAUCGGCUAACUCCGUGCCAGCAGCCGCGAUAAUACGGAGGAUGCAAGCGUUAUCCGGAUUCAUUGGGUUUAAAGGGUGCGCAGGCUGUAAGGCAAGUCAGUGGUGAAAGCCCUGGGCUUAACUCAGGGAUUGCCAUUGAAACUGUUUUACUAGAGUGUAGUAGAGGACGGCGGAAUGAGUUGUGUAGCGGUGAAAUGCAUAGAUAUAACUCAGAACACCUAUUGCGUAGGCAGCUGUCUAUACUACAACUGACGCUGAGGCACGAAAGCGUGGGGAGCGAACAGGAUUAGAUACCCUGGUAGUCCACGCUGUAAACGAUGAUCACUCGUUGUUGGCUACUUAGUAGUCAGUGACCAAGGGAAACCGAUAAGUGAUCCACCUGGGGAGUACGUCGGCAACGAUGAAACUCAAAGGAAUUGACGGGGGCCCGCACAAGCGGAGGAACAUGUUGGUUUAAUUCGAUGAUACGCGAGGAACCUUACCUGGGCUUAAAUGCUGGCUGCAUUGGAGGGAAACCUUCAUUUCCUACGGGACCGCCAGCAAGGUGCUGCAUGGUUGUCGUCAGCUCGUGCCGUGAGGUGUCGGGUUAAGUCCCAUAACGAGCGCAGCCCCUAUCGCUAGUUGCCAGCAUGUAAUGGUGGGGACUCUAGCGAGACUGCCGGUGUAAACCGGAGGAAGGUGCGCGCAUGACGUCAAAUCAGCACGGCCCUUACGUCCAGGGCUACACACGUGUUACAAUGGCCGGUACAAAGAGCAGCCACCUGGCGACAGGGCGCUAAUCUCUAAAACCGGUCUCAGUUCGGAUCGAAGUCUGCAAUUCGACUUCGUGAAGGUGGAUUCGCUAGUAAUCGCGCAUC